This 595-nucleotide small RNA is filed under the name uncultured fungus. Its description in RNAcentral is "eukaryotic LSU rRNA". The stretch from base 197 to 351 matches the Rfam family "5.8S ribosomal RNA". Lineage: Eukaryota; Fungi. The record is from RNAcentral.
AUCGAAAUUAUUGGUGAGGGUUGUAGCUGGCCUUUCGAAGCAUGUGCACGCUCGAGCCCUUAAUCCACUUUACACCUGUGCACUUAAUGUAGGUCGCCCUUAAAAAAGGUGACCUAUGUCUUAUCAUCAACCCAUCGUAUGUCUCAUAGAAUGUAAUCGAUAUCCUCGCCCUAAAAAAGCGUUGAUAAACUUAUACAACUUUCAACAACGGAUCUCUUGGCUCUCGCAUCGAUGAAGAACGCAGCGAAAUGCGAUAAGUAAUGUGAAUUGCAGAUUUUCAGUGAAUCAUCGAAUCUUUGAACGCACCUUGCGCUCCUUGGUAUUCCGAGGAGCAUGCCUGUUUGAGUGUCAUUAAAUUCUCAACUCCAAGGGUUUCACGACCUUUCGGAGAUUGGACUUGGAGGUGCUGGCCGCAUAUUGGUCGGCUCCUCUCAAAUGCAUCAGCGGAAUUCAACCUUUGGCUUCCGGAUGUCAGUGUGAUAAUCAUGUUGCGCUGUCGUUUGAUCCCUCAGAGUCCGCUUAUAAUGGUCUUCGGACAAAAUCAUCAUCAAAUUUGACCUCAAAUCAGGUAGGACUACCCGCUGAACUUAAGCAU